Molecule: long non-coding RNA, 1376 nt
Filed under: Equus caballus (horse)
Lineage: Eukaryota; Metazoa; Chordata; Mammalia; Perissodactyla; Equidae
Description: lncRNA (ENSECAG00000053446.1)
Source: RNAcentral
GAAUCAGGCACCGAGCGCCUUGUAUCCUGAUUAGCUGGCAAGUCUAUUCUUUCUCCCAUGGCACAGAAGACCCCAGAAGGGUUUUAAGUCAGGAGGUGACGUGACUGGAGGUGCAACACCAGCUGGCCACGGGAUGGAGGCAGGGUCCCUGGCCUUACACAGCGCUCACCCCAGGCCCUGCUGGCCCAGCACACAGCAGGUGAGGCUUGGGAAAACUCUUCCAGCCUUCUCUGAUCGGCCCACUUCCGCCCCUCUGGAGCCUGGGAGCCCUGCCCUCUGGAAUAACCCAGCUCCACGUCUCCUAGAGCCGGACCUUGGUAAACAAAAGCCUCGACUGGGGGAAUGUCUUUGGUGCCUGGCAACCUCUGUUUUCGGCCUGGCAACCCCAAAGCCUUUAACAGCCUCAGUCCCCACCCCCAGGCACAAAGGAGGAAACAUACCCACAGCAAGGAGACCAAAAUGCAAAUUACGACCUCAAUAUGUUUCUCUGCAGCCUAGUCAGAGCACUGCGGUGGCAACAACCCACUGAGGCACUGAAUUAAACAAAAAAGGGUUGAGGUUAUGAAAGGAGAGGUUCCAGCUAGAGUUCAAGAAAGUUUUCCAGACCUGCCUGCAGAGAAUUAAACGCAGACACUGUGAAGUGCCCGUCCCAUCCUUCAAGAACCAGCUCAGAUGCCUCCUCUCUGGGAAGCCUUUCCUGCGCCCCCAAGGCUGUUGGUCACUGGAGAGCCCUGAGAGCAGGCAUUAUACUGCAUCCCAUUUGUAUAUUUUGUAUCCCUUUCUAUCUCAUAAAUGGGGCAGGAAUUCAAUCAAGACCUGAGUCAAUUAUUUUAUUUAUACUGAGAACUUCUGUGGCAGUCUCUGUGCUAGGGGAAUACGGAGGACACAGGACACAAUGCACAGUCCAGUUCAGGGAGAACCAAUGAAUGGAGUUGGUACAAUGCUAGCGUUGGGGUUUGAGAGUGAUACUUACACCCCCUCCCCAAGUUCAGGCCAGCUGAGAGGUAUGCACACAGGCCCAUCAGGCAGGAGGAGGGAGAGCCAAGUCAGCUUUAUUGGUAGCUGCUGGUAUUUGGACCUAAGCUCAAAAAAAUUUGCCCUCUCAUGUCUAGAUCUUGAGAAGACCCACCCAAGGGACAGUCUGGAUCUGCAGGACAGACAUACCUACCCAGUCUUUGGGCCAACCCUGAGAAUGGGGUCAGCGAGGUAGUUCUCCAGAUUUGCCUCUAGAAAUCUGAGUGGAGCCCUGGCCAUGUGUUCACCACAUCAAGGACAGGAGCGGGAAGGUGUGAAAAGGGAGUGGAGCCCAGGUCUUAUUUGCCUGUUGAAGCUUCUCUCAAUCUCCUCGAUCCCAUAAAACAUUCCUUCUCCCCAGG